Molecule: non-coding RNA, 25 nt
Filed under: Cricetulus griseus (Chinese hamster)
Lineage: Eukaryota; Metazoa; Chordata; Mammalia; Rodentia; Cricetidae
Source: RNAcentral
AGAUGAAAUUAUAUGCAGAACAUGG